ACUGAAUAGAUACCCAGGUAGUCCGCACCGUAAACGAUGAUCACUUGGUGUUGGAGGUAUUGACCCCUUCAGUGCCGAAAGCUAACGCGUUAAGUGCUCCGCCUGGGAAGUACGGUCGCAAGAUUAAAACUCAAAGAAAUUGACGGGGGCCCGGCACAAGCAGUGGAGCAUGUGGUUCAAUUCGAUGCAACGCGAAAAACCUUAACCUGGGUUUGAAGUGCUAGUGAAUGUGGUAGAGAUAUCACAGGCCUCGGUACGACUAGUAUCAGUGCUGCAUGGCUGUCGUCAGCUCGUGUCGUGAGAUGUC
This 307-nucleotide ribosomal RNA is filed under the name uncultured bacterium. Its description in RNAcentral is "bacterial SSU rRNA". It matches the Rfam family "Bacterial small subunit ribosomal RNA", at positions 772 to 1076 of the family's 1533-position model. The record is from RNAcentral.